RNAcentral lists this ribosomal RNA (467 nucleotides) under uncultured bacterium. RNAcentral describes it as "partial 16S ribosomal RNA". It matches the Rfam family "Bacterial small subunit ribosomal RNA", at positions 29 to 507 of the family's 1533-position model. The record is from RNAcentral.
ACGCACGCUGGCGGCAUGCUUAACACCUGCAAGUCGCACGGAAAGGCCCUGCUUUUGUGGGGUGCUCGAGUGGCGAACGGGUGAGUAACACGUGAGUAACCUGCCCUUGACUUUGGGAUAACUUCAGGAAACUGGGGCUAAUACCGGAUAGGAGCUCCUGCUGCAUGGUGGGGGUUGGAAAGUUUCGGCGGUUGGGGAUGGACUCGCGGCUUAUCAGCUUGUUGGUGGGGUAGUGGCUUACCAAGGCUUUGACGGGUAGCCGGCCUGAGAGGGUGACCGGCCACAUUGGGACUGCGAUACGGCCCAGACUCCUACGGGAGGCAGCAGUGGGGAAUAUUGCACAAUGGGCGGAAGCCUGAUGCAGCAACGCCGCGUGCGGGAUGACGGCCUUCGGGUUGUAAACCGCUUUCGCCUGUGACGAAGCGUGAGUGACGGUAAUGGGUAAAGAAGCACCGGCUAACUACGUG